UUGCCAGUAAACCUUAUACAACUUUCAACAACGGAUCUCUUGGCUCUCGCAUCGAUGAAGAACGCAGCGAAAUGCGAUAAGUAAUGUGAAUUGCAGAAUUCAGUGAAUCAUCGAAUCUUUGAACGCACCUUGCGCUCCUUGGUAUUCCGAGGAGCAUGCCUGUUUGAGUGUCAUGAAAUUCUCAACCUUUUCAGCUUUUUGUUGAAUAGGCUUGGAUUUUGGGAGUUGUUGCAGGCUGC
This 239-nucleotide ribosomal RNA is filed under the name Tricholoma matsutake. Its description in RNAcentral is "5.8S ribosomal RNA". The stretch from base 20 to 173 matches the Rfam family "5.8S ribosomal RNA". Rfam says of the family: 5.8S ribosomal RNA (5.8S rRNA) is a component of the large subunit of the eukaryotic ribosome. Lineage: Eukaryota; Fungi; Basidiomycota; Agaricomycetes; Agaricales; Tricholomataceae. The record is from RNAcentral.